AUGGUGCCCUUUGCUCUGCCAUUCAUGCAACAGCAGUGGAUAUUGUAUCUUAGGCAAAUGUGCAGUCUGAGACAGAAGUACCCAGGUGACCAAUGUCAGCAGAAAAAAGUCAUCAAAGAAGUCCCACUAGUAGCAAUAGCUUACAAGUUUGAUUUAAAAAGAAAAAUCUGCAGCAGCUAGGAGACCUGUCAGACUUGACCCAAGUGAGGAAGAAAGUCAUUUAACCAUCCCCAAUGCCUUUUUUGAAGGUA
RNAcentral lists this long non-coding RNA (251 nucleotides) under Monodelphis domestica (gray short-tailed opossum). RNAcentral's name for it is "lncRNA (ENSMODG00000033490.2)". Lineage: Eukaryota; Metazoa; Chordata; Mammalia; Didelphimorphia; Didelphidae. The record is from RNAcentral.